This 2207-nucleotide ribosomal RNA is filed under the name Desulforhabdus sp. TSK. RNAcentral describes it as "partial 23S ribosomal RNA". It matches the Rfam family "Bacterial large subunit ribosomal RNA", at positions 3 to 2198 of the family's 2925-position model. The record is from RNAcentral. Lineage: Bacteria; Pseudomonadati; Thermodesulfobacteriota; Syntrophobacteria; Syntrophobacterales; Syntrophobacteraceae.
UCAAGCUAAUAAGGGCAAACGGUGGAUGCCUAGGCGCUGAGAGGCGAAGAAGGACGCGGUUAGCUGCGAAAAGCUUCGGGGAGCCGCUAAACAGGCUUUGAUCCGGAGAUCUCCGAAUGGGGAAACCCGGUUGGCGUAAUAGCCAAUCAUCCCGGAAGGGAAGCAAACCCGGAGAACUGAAACAUCUCAGUACCCGGAGGAGAAGAAAUCAAAAGAGAUUCCGCAAGUAGCGGCGAGCGAACGCGGAAGAGCCCAAACCUGGAUCUUUCGAGAUCCGGGGGUUGCAGGGACCCGAUGUGGGAUGUGAGAGAAUAGCAGAAGGAUCUGGAAAGAUCGUCCAUAGAGGGUGAAAGGCCCGUAUGCGAAAUUCCGACACACCCUAGGGAACCCCUGAGUACCGCGGGGCACGUGGAACCCCGUGGGAACCUGGGAGGACCAUCUUCCAAGGCUAAAUACUCCUCAGCGACCGAUAGUGAACCAGUACCGUGAGGGAAAGGUGAAAAGCACCCCGGGAGGGGAGUGAAAUAGUACCUGAAACCGUUUGCCUACAAGCAGUGGGAGAACGAUGAAUCUUCGGAUUCCGUUUGACCGCGUGCCUUUUGCAUAAUGAGUCAGCGAGUUACUCUCUGUGGCAAGGUUAAGCCGAUAGGUGUAGCCGCAGCGAAAGCGAGUCCGAACAGGGCGCAUGAGUUGCAGGGAGUAGACCCGAAACCAGGUGAUCUAUCCAUGGCCAGGGUGAAGUCUCGGUAAUGCGAGAUGGAGGCCCGAACCGAAGAAGGUUGAAAACUUCUCGGAUGAGCUGUGGAUAGGAGUGAAAGGCUAAUCAAACCUGGAAAUAGCUGGUUCUCCCCGAAAUGCAUUGAGGUGCAGCCUCGAGGCAAGAAUAACGGAGGUAGAGCACUGAAUGGGCUAGGGGUCUUACCGGAUUACCAAACCCAAUCAAACUUCGAAUGCCGUUAUAUCAUCCUCGGGAGUGAGACUGCGGGAGAUAAGUUCCGUAGUCGAGAGGGAAAGAGCCCAGACCGUCAGCUAAGGUCCCUAAAUGAAUGCUAAGUGGGAAAGGAUGUGGAUACGCACAGACAACCAGGAGGUUGGCUUAGAAGCAGCCAUCCUUUAAAGAAAGCGUAACAGCUCACUGGUCUAGUGUGCCUGCGCCGAAAAUUCAACGGGGCUAAGCAUUCUACCGAAGCUGCGGCUUGAUCUUCGGAUCAGGGGUAGGGGAGCAUUGCAGUGGCCGUCGAAGGUGUACCGAGAGGAGCGCUGGAGGUGCUGCAAGAGAUUAUGCUGACAUGAGUAACGAUAAAGCGGGUGAGAAUCCCGCUCGCCGUAAGCCUAAGGUUUCCUGGGUAAAGGUCGUCUGCCCAGGGUUAGUCGGUCCCUAAGCUGAGGCCGAAAGGCGUAGGUGAUGGGAAACAGGUUAAUAUUCCUGUACCACCGGAUGAGCGUUUGAGUGAUGGGGGGACGCAGAAGGGUAGGCCGGCCGGGUGAUGGAAGUCCCGGUUCAAGCCGGUAGGCGGAGGUUCCAGGCAAAUCCGGAACCUUGUCAACGCCGAGAGGUGAUGAGGAGGGCGUAAGCCCACAAACCGGUUGAUCCCAUGCUGCCAAGAAAAGCCUCUAGCGAGCUCGUCAGGUGACCGUACCGUAAACCGACACAGGUAGGCGAGGAGAGAAUCCUCAGGCGCGUGAGAGAACCCUGUUUAAGGAACUCGGCAAAAUCACACCGUAACUUCGGGAGAAGGUGUGCCCUCAUUAGGUGAAAAGACUAGCUUUUGGAGCCGAAGGGGGUUGCAAAGAAAUGGCGGUAGCGACUGUUUACUAAAAACAUAGGACUCUGCCAAGUCGCAAGACGACGUAUAGGGUCUGACGCCUGCCCGGUGCUGGAAGGUUAAGGGGAGAUGUUAUCGCAAGAGAAGCAUUGAACCGAAGCCCCAGUAAACGGCGGCCGUAACUAUAACGGUCCUAAGGUAGCGAAAUUCCUUGUCGGGUAAGUUCCGACCUGCACGAAUGGCGUAACGACUUCCGCACUGUCUCAAACAGGGACUCAGUGAAAUUGCAGUCUCGGUGCAGAUACCGAGUACCCGCGGCUAGACGGAAAGACCCCGUGCACCUUUACUAUAGCUUGGCAUUGGAUUUUGGGCGUGUAUGUGUAGGAUAGGUGGGAGGCGAUGAAACGGGAGCGCCAGCUCUCGCGGAGCCGUCCUUGAAAU